RNAcentral lists this unclassified non-coding RNA (613 nucleotides) under Hevea brasiliensis (rubber tree). Lineage: Eukaryota; Viridiplantae; Streptophyta; Magnoliopsida; Malpighiales; Euphorbiaceae. The record is from RNAcentral.
UCAGUUUACACUGAGAAAACAUUACUAAAUUCAGAAAUCAACUAUCGAUGAGAGACCAUGUGUUUCUCAAAUGUUCAUAGACCAUCUCAAAAUUCCAUGGACACUUCCGAAAACAGAACCACUUUGUUUGCUUAUCUUGGAGGUGGAGGUGGCGGUGGAGGGGGAAGCAUUUGAGAUUUUGCAAAUCCAAUCCAAGCAACAAUGCCAACAGCUAGAAUUAUCCAUCCAUAUAUGUCAUACUUGAGAUCACUGCUUUUCUUCUUCUUUGAACUCUUAGCACUUGAUGAAGUAGAAGGUCCAGAAGCAGGUGCAGCCCCCAUCACGCCUGUUGAGCUAAACCAUGCUUGUGAAUCUCCAUGUGUAAUUCUGGAGCCUUAGCAGCCACUUCUAGGGACCUGCGAUAUAUUUCAUUCUCCGGGUCCUCAUCAACAGCUUGCUGAAAGAAGACAGUUGCUUUUUCAAAAGACUCCUUAGCCUCAUCUUGAUCAGGGGUUAAAAAAGCAAAAGAAGUAUGAGCAUUUCCUAGGCACCAAAGAGUAUCAUGUUUCUUUGGCUGCACCAACAAUGCUUCCUCCAGCUUUGAAAUGCCAUCUAGUAUCAUUUUUUUGGAAUC